CGUGGUCCAGUGGUAGAGCCUUCGGCUGAUGCACAGAUGAGCCCGAGUUCGACUCCGG
Molecule: transfer RNA, 58 nt
Filed under: Eutreptiella gymnastica
Lineage: Eukaryota; Euglenozoa; Euglenophyceae; Eutreptiales; Eutreptiaceae
Source: RNAcentral